UACCCCUCCGACCCUACUCUCCAAGUCGCCCGAAUUCGACUCAAUCACGUACGUGUUAACUCGCCCCCUAAACUCACUCUUGACCUCUCCUUCUCUCUUGUCAUCAGGAUUCGAAACAGAGACUUCUUUUCCUUAGACUAUAGUUCCCUCGAUGUUUCGGUUGGGUACAGAGGAAGAGAGCUGGGGCUUGUGCGUUCUCAGGGAGGGAAAAUUAGGGCGAGAGGAUCGUCGUACGUGAAUGCCUUGCUUGAUUUGAAUGGUCUUGAGAUUAUACACGAUGUGUUUUACUUGAUUGAGGAUUUGGCUAGGGGUGUUAUUCCCUUUGAUACCAGUACCAAGGUCCAUGGAGAGCUUGGGCUCUUGUUUUUCAAA
Molecule: unclassified non-coding RNA, 372 nt
Filed under: Hevea brasiliensis (rubber tree)
Lineage: Eukaryota; Viridiplantae; Streptophyta; Magnoliopsida; Malpighiales; Euphorbiaceae
Source: RNAcentral